AUGAGUUAUGUGUGGAGGAGUAUACUCAAAGGGAUUGAACUCUUGAAGGAAGGAGUGGUUUGGAGGAUUGGUGACGGUACUGAUGUUUGGAUUUGGGAUGACCCAUGGAUCCCGAGGGGGGUCACACGCCGGCCAUCAACCCCUAGAGGCCAGUGCCUCCUCACUAGGGUCUGUGAGCUCAUCGACCCGGACGCGAGCGACUGGGAUCGGGACCUCGUUUAGGGAUGCUUUCAUGUAGAUGAUGUGCCCUUCAUUCUGAGUAUUCCUAUUGCAGAACAGUCUGACGAUUUUCUGGCUUGGCAUUAUGAUAGCAAAGGUCGCUUCUCUAUCAAAUCGGCUUACAAAGUGCAUGUGGCUGUACUGAAGCGGGAGGCUUCCAUGCAGAGAAGGGGUGUCGACCUCGACACGCGUUGUGCAGUCUGCGGCCGCCUCUUUGAGGAUGGAGGGCAUCUAUUCCUGAACUGCAAAUGGGUUAAGCAACGGUGGCGAGCUCUUCAGUUGGAAGAAGUCAGAUUAAAGCUCACCCAUAUGCAGAAUGCGAGAGAAGUGAUUAAUGCGGUACUACGACUUCCCAAUGAGCAAAGGAUGAUGACCAUUGCACUUUUGUGGGCAUGGUGGUCAGAGAGGAACAAAGGAAACCACAGAGAGUGACGCUCAACAGUUGAUGAAUUUCAAUAUCUGGUUCGGUUCCAUGUAGACGAAUGGCGCAUGUACCUUGAUCCUGCUCCCCCAAACCGAGUGGCCUCCGUCCGAGAAUGGCAACCACCACCCCCAGAUCUAGUCAAGAUCAACAUUGAUGGUGCGUACAAUGCUGAAACUGGUGAGGGAGGGUGGGGAAUAAUUUGUCGUGACUCAAACAGUGAGAUUCUCUUUGCCGCUGCGGGUUCUUCAGGCUACCUCUCAGGUGCAUUGCAUGCUGAGACUAUGGCCCUGGUGCAUGCCGUCAACACUGCUGACCAACUGGGGGUGGGGAAAGUUCAGUUUGAAACGGACUGUUGUGUACUCCAGCAUGCUGUAAGCUCGAGGGAAUGUGAUCUGGCGCCGUUGGGACAAGUGUUCAGAGAUCUGAAGGCCAAGCUUCUUACUCAAUUCAUCCAAGCUAGUGUGGUGCAUACACCACGUGAAUGUAACAAACCAGCGCAUGUGCUGGCUUCGUUCGGUUCGGGUCUACCUACUAGGACUAGGGACCAGUGGUUUGAUAACUAUCCUGAAUUUGUAACCCGUGUUGUAACCGGCGAUCUCGCCGUGCUAUAA
RNAcentral lists this ribosomal RNA (1254 nucleotides) under Triticum aestivum (bread wheat). Its description in RNAcentral is "partial small subunit ribosomal RNA". Lineage: Eukaryota; Viridiplantae; Streptophyta; Magnoliopsida; Poales; Poaceae. The record is from RNAcentral.